CACACCGCCCGUCACAUCACGAAAGUGGGCUGUACUAGAAGCCGGUGGGCUAACCGCAAGGAAGCAGCCGUCCAAGGUAUAACUCAUGAUAGGGGUG
This 97-nucleotide ribosomal RNA is filed under the name uncultured bacterium. RNAcentral describes it as "partial 16S ribosomal RNA". It matches the Rfam family "Bacterial small subunit ribosomal RNA", at positions 1386 to 1482 of the family's 1533-position model. The record is from RNAcentral.